RNAcentral lists this long non-coding RNA (265 nucleotides) under Ananas comosus (pineapple). RNAcentral's name for it is "long non-coding RNA (ACOM_LNC022753)". The record is from RNAcentral. Lineage: Eukaryota; Viridiplantae; Streptophyta; Magnoliopsida; Poales; Bromeliaceae.
UUUAGACUUUGUUUGGUUGGAGUAUAAAUAAAAACUAAUUAUUAUAAAAAUAGAUAUAAGUAUGGAGAUAAAAAAAUAGCAUUUGAAUAAAAAUUGGGUUGAUUUCGGGGAUAAAAAAAUAGCGUUUGGAUAGAUAAUAUAGAAUAAGAAAAAUAGUGGAUAGUUAUAUAUAGAAAAUAAAGGUAUUGGUGGGAUAGUUAUACCAGCUUAUUUCAGGUAUCCGAGAACUACUAUUCUCGAACCCUUAUUCCUAAUCCAAAUAGUG